This 814-nucleotide ribosomal RNA is filed under the name uncultured Burkholderiales bacterium. RNAcentral describes it as "SSU rRNA". It matches the Rfam family "Bacterial small subunit ribosomal RNA", at positions 62 to 872 of the family's 1533-position model. Lineage: Bacteria; Pseudomonadati; Pseudomonadota; Betaproteobacteria; Burkholderiales. The record is from RNAcentral.
UCGAACGGCAGCACGGACUUCGGUCUGGUGGCGAGUGGCGAACGGGUGAGUAAUAUAUCGGAACAUACCCAGUAGUGGGGGAUAACUAUCCGAAAGGAUAGCUAAUACCGCAUACGAUCUGUGGAUGAAAGCAGGGGAUCUUCGGACCUUGUGCUAUUGGAAUGGCCGAUAUCUGAUUAGCUAGUUGGUAGGGUAAAAGCCUACCAAGGCGACGAUCAGUAGCUGGUCUGAGAGGACGACCAGCCACACUGGAGCUGAGACACGGUCCAGACUCCUACGGGAGGCAGCAGUGGGGAAUUUUGGACAAUGGGGGCAACCCUGAUCCGGCAAUGCCGCGUGAGUGAAGAAGGCCCUCGGGUUGUAAAGCUCUUUUGUCAGGGAAGAAACGGAGUUCUCUAAUAUAGGAUUCUAAUGACGGUACCUGAAGAAUAAGCACCGGCUAACUACGUGCCAGCAGCCGCGGUAAUACGUAGGGUGCAAGCGUUAAUCGGAAUUACUGGGCGUAAAGCGUGCGCAGGCGGUUUUGUAAGUCUGAUGUGAAAUCCCCGGGCUCAACCUGGGAACUGCAUUGGAGACUGCAAGGCUAGAGUGUGUCAGAGGGGGGUAGAAUUCCACGUGUAGCAGUGAAAUGCGUAGAGAUGUGGAGGAAUACCGAUGGCGAAGGCAGCCCCCUGGGAUAACACUGACGCUCAUGCACGAAAGCGUGGGGAGCAAACAGGAUUAGAUACCCUGGUAGUCCACGCCCUAAACGAUGUCUACUAGUUGUCGGGACUUAAUUGUCUUGGUAACGCAGCUAACGCGUGAAGUAGACCGC